RNAcentral lists this transfer RNA (75 nucleotides) under Euryarchaeota archaeon RBG_16_68_13. Its description in RNAcentral is "tRNA-Tyr". It matches the Rfam family "tRNA". From Rfam's summary of the family: Transfer RNA (tRNA) molecules are approximately 80 nucleotides in length. Their secondary structure includes four short double-helical elements and three loops (D, anti-codon, and T loops). Lineage: Archaea; Methanobacteriati; Methanobacteriota. The record is from RNAcentral. RNAcentral also lists the same sequence under 4 other names.
CCCGCCUUAGCUCAGCCUGGUCAGAGCGGGUGACUGUAGAUCAUCAGGCCCCCGGUUCAAAUCCGGGAGGCGGGA